AUACAAUAUAUAUAGUAUAUACUUGGGACUGUGACAACCAGGCUGUGAGACAGUUAGUGAAUGUAGAUAUACAAUAUAUAGUAUAUACUUGGGACUGUGACAACCAGGCUGUUAGUUAGUGAAUGUAGGUAUACAAUAUAUAUAGUAUAUACUUGGGACUGUGACAACCAGGCUGUUAGUUAGUGAAUGUAGGUAUACAAUAUAUAGUAUAUACUUGGGACUGUGACAACCAGGCUGUUAGUUAGUGAAUGUAGGUAUAUAAUAUAUAUAGUAUAUACUUGGGACUGUGACAACCAGGCUGUGAGACAGUUAGUAAAUAUUCCCCACCAUAAGGCCCGGCCCGUCCGGUUCAAGCCAGGCUAUGGCGGCCCAGAGGUCAGAGUGAAGAGUGCACCAUCCAGAAGAGAGCCACUUCAGGAAAAAGUGGGAUCUGGAGUGUACAGACGGAGAAUCUCUACAGAUUCUGAACGUUCUAGUAAAUAUGGCAGACCCAAACCUCACAUCUUGCCAACUAUCCAACUCCAUAACCCAUUCAAGCCACAGGGCAAGUACUUCAAGUAUACAGUGGACUUCUACAAGAAGAAAAAUAAAAGUGAAUUAGAGAAAACUGAUUAAGGCAGUCUCUGUCUAUUGUAGAAAUUUUAGCAGAUGCCGAACAGAGAAAUGAUUAGCAGAAAAUAAGAAUAUAUAAGAGGAGAAAUUUUACAAGGGAUGUGUGAAUGGAGGAAUGAUUUGGAUAUUCUGUAGGAAUGUAGUGAAAUGUUUGCAUGUAUUGUACAACAUACAUUUUUGUAUGAUUUGUACCCAUCAGUGUAAUUUAGACAUACAGGCUAGAAACUAUGAAAUUACAUGUGCAAAUGCAAGGAAGGCAGUUCUUCACAAAGUGGAAGCUAAUGCUCUGGUCCCAGAUGACAACAGAGGGUUGUGAGGAACACAGUGUAUCAUAUACUGCUCAUGUAGAGAGACACAGCAGGAAUAGUGGAAUGUGUUCCUAUUGAUUAUGUGAUAUCCCACAGGGUGUGACUGAUAAUUUUGUAACAGACUACUAGUGCACCCUGUUUUCAGAGAGUAAUGUUAAGUUACUACACUGGGGUUUAGUGAAUACCCUGAAGUUUAG
Long non-coding RNA from Lingula anatina, 1117 nucleotides. Lineage: Eukaryota; Metazoa; Brachiopoda; Lingulata; Lingulida; Lingulidae. The record is from RefSeq and is a predicted model, not a curated record.